UACGGAGGGUGCAAGCGUUGUUCGGAAUUACUGGGCGUAAAGGGCGCGUAGGCGGCCAGGAAAGUCCGGUGUGAAAGCCCGGGGCUUAACCCCGGAAGUGCAUUGGAAACUUCCUGGCUUGAGUUCGGAAGAGGAGGGCAGAAUUCCCGGUGUAGGAGUGAAAUCCGUAGAUAUCGGGAGGAAAACCAGUGGCGAAGGCGGCCCUCUGGGACGAAACUGACGCUGAGGCGCGAAAGCGUGGGGAG
RNAcentral lists this ribosomal RNA (245 nucleotides) under uncultured Deferrisoma sp. RNAcentral describes it as "partial 16S ribosomal RNA". It matches the Rfam family "Bacterial small subunit ribosomal RNA", at positions 524 to 768 of the family's 1533-position model. The record is from RNAcentral. Lineage: Bacteria; Pseudomonadati; Thermodesulfobacteriota; Deferrisomatia; Deferrisomatales; Deferrisomataceae.